RNAcentral lists this ribosomal RNA (416 nucleotides) under uncultured bacterium. RNAcentral describes it as "bacterial SSU rRNA". It matches the Rfam family "Bacterial small subunit ribosomal RNA", at positions 28 to 439 of the family's 1533-position model. The record is from RNAcentral.
GACGAACGCUGGCGGCGCGCCUAACACAUGCAAGUCGAACGAGCGAGAGAGAGCUUGCUUUCUCAAGCGAGUGGCGAACGGGUGAGUAACGCGUGAGGAACCUGCCUCAAAGAGGGGGACAACAGUUGGAAACGACUGCUAAUACCGCAUAAGCCCACAGGUCGGCAUCGACCAGAGGGAAAAGGAGCAAUCCGCUUUGAGAUGGCCUCGCGUCCGAUUAGCUAGUUGGUGAGGUAACGGCCCACCAAGGCAACGAUCGGUAGCCGGACUGAGAGGUUGAACGGCCACAUUGGGACUGAGACACGGCCCAGACUCCUACGGGAGGCAGCAGUGGGGAAUAUUGCACAAUGGGGGAAACCCUGAUGCAGCGACGCCGCGUGGAGGAAGAAGGUCUUCGGAUUGUAAACUCCUGUUGU